CAAAAAAGUAAAUAAAAUAAAUACAGGAGGAAAAUUUAUUUGUUGUUCUCGAAAUUCUUUGUAAAACUUGGAAGAACGCAGGCAGCAAAUUGCGAUAAAAUGGUAGAGAAGUGAAAAGUAGUUGGAGGAAGACAAGGUUUGUCCCACAUCUGCAGAAUAAAUUGCAACAAUAGAAGUGCAACACAGAAAAGAGUUGCAUGCUAUUCAGAUGGACAAUGAGCUCCAGUGAAAUAAAAAAAAUAAAAUUGAGAUAUAUUAAUAAAAGAAAAAUAUAAAUUUUAUAAAAAUAAAUGACAAUGACUAACUUUAA
This is a long non-coding RNA of Manduca sexta (tobacco hornworm), 310 nucleotides long. RefSeq lists it as uncharacterized. The record is from RefSeq and is a predicted model, not a curated record. The transcript has 2 exons. NCBI's taxonomy places the organism in Eukaryota, Metazoa, Arthropoda, Insecta, Lepidoptera, Sphingidae.